This 253-nucleotide ribosomal RNA is filed under the name uncultured bacterium. RNAcentral's name for it is "partial 16S ribosomal RNA". It matches the Rfam family "Bacterial small subunit ribosomal RNA", at positions 524 to 776 of the family's 1533-position model. The record is from RNAcentral.
UACGUAGGGUGCGAGCGUUAAUCGGAAUUACUGGGUGUAAAGCGUGCGCAGGCGGUUUUGUAAGCCAGAUGUGAAAUCCCCGGGCUUAACCUGGGAAUGGCAUUUGGGACUGCAAGGCUUGAGUGCGGCAGAGGAGACUAGAAUUCCUGGUGUAGCAGUGAAAUGCGUAGAUAUCAGGAGGAAUACCGAUGGCGAAGGCAGGUCUCUGGGCUGACACUGACGCUCAUGCACGAAAGCGUGGGGAGCAAACGGG